GCCCUUGUUGCGCAGUCGGUUAGUGAGUCAGUCUUGCAAUCUGAAGGUAGUUAGUUCAAGUCUCACCUGGGGCA
This 74-nucleotide transfer RNA is filed under the name Trichobilharzia regenti. It matches the Rfam family "tRNA". From Rfam's summary of the family: Transfer RNA (tRNA) molecules are approximately 80 nucleotides in length. Their secondary structure includes four short double-helical elements and three loops (D, anti-codon, and T loops). The record is from Rfam by way of RNAcentral. Lineage: Eukaryota; Metazoa; Platyhelminthes; Trematoda; Strigeidida; Schistosomatidae.